This 253-nucleotide ribosomal RNA is filed under the name uncultured bacterium. RNAcentral describes it as "partial 16S ribosomal RNA". It matches the Rfam family "Bacterial small subunit ribosomal RNA", at positions 524 to 776 of the family's 1533-position model. The record is from RNAcentral.
UACGUAGGGUGCGAGCGUUAAUCGGAAUUACUGGGCGUAAAGCGUGCGCAGGCGGUUUUGUAAGCCAGAUGUGAAAUCCCCGGGCUCAACCUGGGAAUGGCAUUUGGGACUGCAAGGCUGGAGUACGGCAGAGGAGACUGGAAUUCCUGGUGUAGCAGUGAAAUGCGUAGAUAUCAGGAGGAAUACCGAUGGUGAAGGCAGGUCUCUGGGCUGAUACUGACGCUCAUGCACGAAAGCGUGGGGAGCAAACAGG